AAUUCGAAGCAACGCGAAGAACUUACCAGGCCUUGACAUGCAGAGAACUUUCCAGAGAUGGAUUGGUGCCUUCGGGAACUCUGACACAGGUGCUGCAUGGCUGUCGUCAGCUCGCGUCGUGAGAUGUUGGGUUAAGUCCCGUAACGAGCGCAACCCUUGUCCUUAGUUACCAGCACGUUAUGGUGGGCACUCUAAGGAGACUGCCGGUGACAAACCGGAGGAAGGUGGGGAUGACGUCAAGUCAUCAUGGCCCUUACGGCCUGGGCUACACACGUGCUACAAUGGUCGGUACAAAGGGUUGCCAAGCCGCGAGGUGGAGCUAAUCCCAUAAAACCGAUCGUAGUCCGGAUCGCAGUCUGCAACUCGACUGCGUGAAGUCGGAAUCGCUAGUAAUCGUGAAUCAGAAUGUCACGGUGAAUACGUUCCCGGGCCUU
RNAcentral lists this ribosomal RNA (434 nucleotides) under uncultured Pseudomonas sp. RNAcentral describes it as "bacterial SSU rRNA". It matches the Rfam family "Bacterial small subunit ribosomal RNA", at positions 948 to 1382 of the family's 1533-position model. Lineage: Bacteria; Pseudomonadati; Pseudomonadota; Gammaproteobacteria; Pseudomonadales; Pseudomonadaceae. The record is from RNAcentral.